AGUGAACGCUGGCGGUAGGCCUAACACAUGCAAGUCGAACGGCAGCACAGUAAGAGCUUGCUCUUACGGGUGGCGAGUGGCGGACGGGUGAGGAAUACAUCGGAAUCUACUUUUUCGUGGGGGAUAACGUAGGGAAACUUACGCUAAUACCGCAUACGACCUACGGGUGAAGGCAGGGGAUCUUCGGACCUUGCGCGAUUGAAUGAGCCGAUGUCGGAUUAGCUAGUUGGCGGGGUAAAGGCCCACCAAGGCGACGAUCCGUAGCUGGUCUGAGAGGAUGAUCAGCCACACUGGAACUGAGGCACGGUCCAGACUCCUACGGGAGGCAGCAGUGGGGAAUAUUGGACAAUGGGCGCAAGCCUGAUCCAGCCAUACCGCGUGGGUGAAGAAGGCCUUCGGGUUGUAAAGCCCUUUUGUUGGGAAAGAAAAGCAGCAGGUUAAUACCCCGCUGUUCUGACGGUACCCAAAGAAUAAGCACCGGCUAACUUCGUG
RNAcentral lists this ribosomal RNA (492 nucleotides) under uncultured bacterium. RNAcentral describes it as "partial 16S ribosomal RNA". It matches the Rfam family "Bacterial small subunit ribosomal RNA", at positions 29 to 507 of the family's 1533-position model. The record is from RNAcentral.